This is an unclassified non-coding RNA of Otolemur garnettii (small-eared galago), 102 nucleotides long. It matches the Rfam family "Y RNA". Rfam says of the family: Y RNAs are components of the Ro ribonucleoprotein particle (Ro RNP), in association with Ro60 and La proteins. The Y RNAs and Ro60 and La proteins are well conserved, but the function of the Ro RNP is not known. The record is from Ensembl. Lineage: Eukaryota; Metazoa; Chordata; Mammalia; Primates; Galagidae.
GGCUGGUCUGAGGGCAGUGGUGUUUACAACUAAGUGAUCACAGCCAGUUACAGAUUACUUUGUUCUUUCUCCACUCCCACUGCUUCACUUGACUAGCCUGAA